Molecule: long non-coding RNA, 7616 nt
Filed under: Canis lupus familiaris (dog)
Lineage: Eukaryota; Metazoa; Chordata; Mammalia; Carnivora; Canidae
Description: lncRNA (ENSCAFG00845006625.1)
Source: RNAcentral
UUCAAUUUAGCUUAUCUUGGAGAUCUUUCCAUGUUUUUUAGCUUACAAAUCCAAAUUCUGCAUGGUCGUUGUUAGCUCUCAUUCUGAGAGACCACAGGUAGUAUUUUCUAACUUUCUUAUAAAAUUUCAAAAUAAACGAAUCAUUUCUUUCAGUCCCCAGGAAAAUGAAUAAUGUAGAUUUUUCCAUUGUAAUAUAUUUUAAUUAAAAGCAUUUUAGCAAGUAUUCAUUGAAUUUAAUAUGAUUUUUUCAUCUUUCCUUAAAUUUUUAAACCUCCUUAAACUUGUAUUUUAAUAAAAAUAUAUGUACAUAAAGAAUGCAGACAUUUAGUAAUCAAGGACAACAAUUAGCAAAAAGCAAAAUUUAGCUUUCAAAAAAAGAGAAAACAUUAUAAUGUAGCAAAUGUGCCUACUUAUUAGAAUAACGGAACACAUAUACACAUAACUCAUUUUCUAAAUCAAUGAGGUAGAUUGCACAAAAAUAGUGAAGCUGGUGAAGAAAUUUUAAGAAUUCUUAAUAGCUUCAAAAAGAAAAAAAAAAACUUUUAAAACAGUUUACCAACAUACUUAGAACAUAGAAACCACAAACAGCAGGAACAGCAAACCAGAAAAGCAACAUAAGAUUAAAUUAAAAUCUGUAUUAUGUAUGUUUAGUCUCCUCCCAUACAUACAUCGCUGCAGUAAUGUGACUGUUAUUUUUGUUUUCUAAUAGGCAACACAUUGCUAUGUUCUUCAAACUGGAAAACAGGAGUUGAGUCAAUUAGCAAACAUCUACUAUAGAAUUUACUAAAAAGAAAAAAAACCCCAAAACAAAAAACACAACACUAAACUGGGUCACUUAAAUAAGAUACAUAAUAAUAUAAGCUGUUAGGCUUUAUUAUCAAAAGAAACUGCUGAAGGAAAUGCUAUACUAUUUCUGGUAGAAAAUAGGCUGCAUUUUUAGAUUUCUAUAAAAGAAUUAACGUUAAUACUGCCUAAAUGAAAAAAAAGUAUUCAUAAGGAAUGGCAUGAUUUAGGAGAGCCUAUGGCUACACAAAAUCAUUGCCAUCAUUACUGGUGAUAUUUGUAGCUGGUAUAAAGCUUUCUGAUAUAUAGUGAACUGAACACUGCAGCUUUAAUUGAAGUUUGAAUGUUAUAAACAGUUAGAUGUCUGGCUCUGGCCUGCAUUCUAAUACCAUCAGCAGAACAGAGAUGGGAAGUAUAAACAAACCUUUUAACUAGAUUACAGUCUCUAAAAUGGCCAAGAAAUCCUUCAGCACAAACUCCUGUGUGACAAAUGUGGGAGAAGGAAAAUGAUUUUGGAAUAAUGCUAAAAAAAAUAGCCUCUGCAAUUUCUGUCAUUUCUUGGAACAUGUAUUUGACUUUCUAAAUAUUUGCUUAAUAUUAAUUAAUGAUAAAUUUUAUAUUUAACUUUCCAAAUAAGUAAAAAUCCUUUUUAUCUUACAUAGCAGCUGUUUUUUAGAUCAGUAUAUCCCAAGUAAAGAAGCUAUUUAAAAAUCAAUACUUUUGUUGACGUGGAAGACUACAUGUACACAGCCAAGACUAUUAUUUUUAGAUAGUAGUAAUAUUAAGAAUGUAGGAUUAAGUUAAUUAACGGUCAACAGAUCAGUAGACAUUUCUGUACUCAAGGUAUACAGAAAACAAUAGCUUUGGAUACCAGGAUAAAUCUUAAUAUAACUUAGCAUUCAGUCAAAACUUAAGAAACAUUUUAGGUUCACUUCCAACUUCCAAAAUAUAGAUGUUAAAUUUUUAAAAAGGGCAGCACAAGAAUGUAAAUCUUAACACUGGCACCAUACAGAAAUUUUUCCUCUAAUUGCCUCAAUCUUGUUUGGUUGGCAAAGAACUCAGUGAAGCAUGGAUGUGCAAAAAUUUUUCAACACUGCAAGGCGGGUGACUGAUUUAUAUAAAUCAUUUUGGUCCUUUAAAACAAUACGUUCUGAUAAAUUACUCAAUGACACAGAUUUAAUUACAAGUUCUCUAAGAAAAGGUUAUAUAGGUCAACUGAAACAGGACUCAAAUUAGAAUUAGUCAACAUAGAACUCUGAAUGAAGUAUAUGGUUUUCACCAGGUUUGACAUCAUCAUGAUUUUCUUCUCUAUUACGUGCAGCUACAUUAGAAGACAUAGCUUAAUAUACGUUAAGCCUGGUCUCAACACGUGUCUGAAAAAUUAUACUGAGUCAUUCCAACUUCUGAAAUCUCACAUGAUAUUACAGAAAUAUGUCAAACAGAAACAAUGAUGAGUUAGAAACUGUACUUUUAACUUUUAUCUUUAGGUAUUGUCUUUGCCUAUUAGGAAUUACCUUUAGGUUAUCUAAGGAAAUUAUUUGAGGCCAUAGACUUAUUCUAUCCCACUGAUUACUUAUUCUGUAAAGCAAUAAAACCAAUUUGUUAUAAAAUUUCCUUUCUGAAAUAUAAUAAAUUUCAGAGAAUAGUUCUCAGCAUUUAAAAAUAUAUCCAAGUUCUAUGGGUCAUAAUGCAUUGGCAUAAUUAUUUAUAGAACGAUAGUCAAUUCAUGCUUAUAGGAUGAAAGUAUAUUUACUUAGGAUGCAUAUGAAAAUUACUUAACAGAAUUUUUAAAAAUUACUCUUUUCUCCUAGAAGCAAAGGAUGUGAAAGUAAAUCUGGUUAGCUGGGACAAAACCUAUUUUAAUUCAGUAGUUGCUUUAAAGAACAACUAUAUAAUAAUCUAAACAUCUAAGGAAUCCAACAAGUUGUCCAUUCUCAUACUAAAAAUAUUUCUGACUUAAAGUAGUACUAAAAAGAAUACAUUAAACUUCAUCCUAUAUGUGUAAUGUAGUAAUUAUGAAGAUCUUAUAAGAUACAGGGUCCAGAAGAUUAUAUCUAUCUAUCUAUAUAUAUGUGUGUGUGUGUGUGUGUAUAUACACACACACACACACACACACACUCAACCACCAGGCAAUAUAUGUUCCCUCUGUGUAGAGGUUUUCCAUUACAACAUUUACAUUAAAAUGUUUACAGUAAAUAUUCAUUGGGUCACAAAUUGUUAGAACCUUCAAACUUCACCUAACAAAAUGGUAAGUGUAACCCACGCAAGAGAGAGGAAGCUCAAUAUGUAGAAAGCCUAAAUGUAAUGUUUGCCAUACAAAGAGAAGACUGACUUUAUGUAUACAGCUGGCCCCUGAACAAUGAGCGCUGACCUCUGUACAGUUGAAAAUCUCAUGUAACGUCUGACUCCCCUAAAACUUCACUACUAAAAGCCUACCAUUGACCUUCUAGAAGUCUUACCUAUAACAUAAACAGUCAAUCAACACAUAUUUUGUAUGCUGCAUGUAUUAUAUAUUGAAUUCUUACAAUAAAGCUAGAGGGAAGAAAGUUUAGAAAAUCAUAAGGCAGAAAAAAAUAUACUUAUAGUACUAUAAAAAUUCUGCAUAUAAGUGGACCCGCAGUUCAAACCUGUAUUGUUCAAGGGUAAAGUGUAUUUUAUUUCAAGUUGCACACUAGUCUGCAUCUAUGUUCCUUAUAAAAAACUGGGUUUAUUUAUUGUUUUUCUGUCCUUGUAAACUUUAAGAAAUUGUUCAUCACUCUAUCAAUAAGUUACUGGGGCCGUGAUUUUACUGUUUACCAAAGUGCUUACUGACUGAUAAAAACUAUUGUGGCUGUGUUUUAAAGUGUUAUGAAUUUACUGUGAUUAAGUGUUUUGCUGCUAUAUGUAAAAUGUGAUUUUGUCAGUAAUAGGUUUCCCCAUUUGCAAAAUGGGAACAAUGUUCAAAGUUCACAGGAUCAGUGUAUUGAUAUAUUUAACACAGUGUUAGACACCUAAAAUAAAUGGUAACUAUGUUUAUUACUAAAAUAAAAAGUUAAGAAUGGAUUUGAAAGAGAACAGAAUUGACCUUCAGAAAUCUGUUUAACUUCACAAAAUACUAUAUCAGCAGGGGAGUCCCUCCUUUCAAACUGAAUCAGUAUUAUUCUAAAAAGUACAGUUUAAGGGAAAAAGAUAAUACAGGAAAUUUCUCCCUAAUUACAUAUGAAUGCCAUGAUAGGAACCAAGAUAGUAUUCUUUGGUUUUGAAACAUUCAUUAACUAAGAAACUUUCAAAUCAUUUUAUUGAAGUUGUAUCACAUAAUGAAGAUUAAAAAUUUGAACUAACCAAUUUAGAGCUAGAACUAGAAAGCUUCUAAUGAGGAUCUUGGAGGAAUUUAUCUUGUGCACACUGAAAAUUCCAAAACUCCUAAAUAGGAUAUACUGUAAUUAUUCCAUGAUAAUUAUACUGUUAGAUUAAACUAUAGAAAUUAAACGAUCAAAAUGAUAAUAUGCCAUGUCUUCCAAUGAACCAUGAAAGAUAACAUGUUAUAUGAAAUGUAAAAAGAAAAGUUACUUCUGAGAAAAAAAAAAAAAGUUUAAGUUUGGAGAGUUUGGGUUUUGUUUUUGCAGGGGAAUAAUUUAAUGAGAUACUUCAAUGAACAAUGUUGAUAACCUUCAAAUAAAAGUAUUCAUCAAUAAAAUACUAGCAAUGAUAGCCACAUACACUAAUUUUACGGUCUAAAAUUAAUGAGUUAUACACAGAAUAGAAAUCCCCAGAAUACAGUAUUAAGUGGAAAAUUUUUCUUUAUAUUUUUCUAUUUUAAUAAAAUACAGCAAAAUCCUUCUUAAACAUGCAUUUUUUUUACACCUAACAGUAUCCAUUUAGUUGAUAUAAAACUUAUUUAGGAAAAAACAUCAAAAUAAAGUCAUGAUCAAUAUACUUGUGGAAUACAAUUAAAACAUCUCUUCACAUUAAACUGUAGGGACCAUCCUUGUUUCUCAGAUGCCUAGCACUGUGCCUGACAGACAGUAGAUGCUCAAUAGAUGUUUAAUGAAUACCUAAAUACAAUCUGUUUUGCACAUACAUUCAAAAUCCAGACAAGUUUGCAAAGGUACAUAAGUUGGACAUAGGCUUUCUGGCUGACUUCAUGGGGUCCCAGUGAUGACUAGAAGUAAAUCUUCAUAUCCAUAGAAAACUGGAAAGUUGAUAAGUGUCUGGGUAAGGACCAAAAAAACAAAGUCAGGGAAACAUGUCACCUAAGUAACAGUUGCUUUAUAGAGCUGGUAAAAGUGGCCUAAUCAUUCCAAUAACCUAUUGCACUAGUCAAUCAAUGAAAUGAGAUUUAAGUGUAUCUUGAACAUCUGCUAGUAUAUCUUUAAUUGGAAUUUUUUUGAAAUCGCUUAUUAAAAAUAAAUUACUUUUGUUGAAUUGCAUCCUGGACAAGGAUCCGAGGGAAUAUGUUUUUACUUUCUAUGAGCACUGUGUUGUUAGCAGGAUUUAAUUUGGCUAAGAGAAAAAGUGAGUGCUACAGCAAAAAUAAAUUUAAAAAUUCAUGGUAGUGGAGAAGUCAUAGCAAGGGGGAGAGGAAAGAAAAAAGGAAGAAAGGAAUCCCACACAUGGGAGCAAGGAAAUUCAAAUAUACCUAACUCUAUCGUCAUUGACGACCAACAAUCAGUAGGGCCUACUGUGCACCGGACACUGUGCUGUAAGGGAUAUAAAAUGUUAACAAGCCAAAAAAUCCUUAGUCUUUAGUGGUUCACAGAGCAAGACUGACAGGUAAACAUUUAUAAUACAAUAUGCCUCAUUCUUACAUGCGGGUCUUUCAUCCAAGAGCAAGAAGCAUAUUUACUGAUGAAUUAGAAGUGCAGAGAAAAAAUAAGCAUCAGGGGAAGCUGAAAUAAUUCUCAAAAUAGUAACUAUCCAGAAUGAGAGAGAUCAGUACCUUUUAAAUCAACAACAAAUAACUGAAUUAUAAAUAGACAAAAUUUUGGCUUAAAGCUAUUUACCUAAAUAUUCUUAGAAUAUUAUGCCUCCACAUAAAAUCCGUUAAGUGCUAUAUGCAAAAUUGUGAAUGACAGUUUCAUUUCUGAGCAAAGAAAAUGAGGUAGUGUAGCGUAGUGAAUAUUAAGAGACCUAAGUUGUCUGGUCCAUGCAUAGUCUGCCCACUUAGAGGCCUUGGAACCUAGGCAAGUUCCUCAAGCUCUCCAAGCUUCAGCGAUUUGGAAAAUAAAGAGCUGGAUAAAGCGACCUCCAAGAUAUCACUUAGAUGAAAAUUGCAAUCUCAAAGUUUCUUAAUAUUCAAAAAAUAAGCCAUAAUAAAAACGGUUUCUAAAUAUAAAUCAUUUUCCACCUUAGAGGAAGCCUAAAAUUCUCAAGCCAUACAGGGUUACCCUAGGAGUGGUGGGAUAAAGAAGUGUUUUCCAAAGAAAAGCAGACAUAAAUUAAAUAAAGGUAUUAUACUCAAGACUGUAAAUUUUUACUCAGCUGCCGACGGGGCAACUACCAUCCAAUUAUCUACACAAUUCGCUUUACUUAAAAUUGAUUUCUUCACUAAGUUCUACUUUCUCACUCUUACAUUAAGGUUGCUGAGGAAUUAGGGUGAGGACGAGGAAUCCUAGGUGGACCUGGAACAGUAGUAUUGAUGUUGUGAGAAGAACUUGAACUUGACAUAGAUUUCUGCUGAAGUGCACCAGUUAUAACCUCAGAGAAAGGUAAGAAACUGUUCAAAUUUAUAACAGAAAGGAGGGAAAUAAGACCAUAUUGUUUACUGCUACACAGCUCUUUCCCCGUGUCUCAAUGUCUACUUUUGCACACACGUUAAUGAGAAUUCUGCAGAACAAGUUUCUACAUUUGCAGUUCAUUUUUGCCACUAAAAUAGAAGCGAUAGAUAUUAUGUUUGGGCUUCACCAUCAAGAAAAUAAAAAAAAAAAAAUCGAAACUAUUACCAUGCUGUUAUAAUAUGUACGUCAAACAUCCGUCUAGAUUUAUUUUUCUUCGAUCCUUUCUAUUUGAUCAAAUUGCUGUUUUCAUAUUACCAGUCUGAUCAUAAAAUUGCUGCUUUACAGGAGAAUAUUUUUUGCUGACAUAAAUUACGGGAUCAGAGAUACCAAUGCAGUUACAAAAAAGGGUGUGUGUGUGAGAGAGAGAGAAAGACAGAGAGAGUGUGUGUGUAUAUGAAUGUGUGCAUCCAUCUUCAAGGAAAGGAUAAAGAAAUGUUAUGUAGGAGACAAAAUGCCACUUUCCAAUGUAAGCCCUAGUAAAAGGCCUACCUUGGAAACAUACUUUCUAACAUCUGUGAGACAAAAAUGCAACACUGAAUUUGAAAGCCACAGUGAUUUUUAGGAAGACUCUUCUCCUACAGACCUAAACCUGGGUUUAUCUUUCAAUUCAUGUCCAACGAGAAUGAAUAUCCUAACUAGGACUUCGCGACUGGACUCCUGAAGAUGCAUUUUAGAGAUCUGUCUCCUUUCCCAUGCACUGAGCAAUCUGGUUCAGUACCCCAGGAGAUGAAAAACUCCUCUCCAUUUACAACACUAAAUAAAUAAUUCAGUUAAAACUGAAAGUGGUACCAAUCCAGCAAACUAUUGAUGGAGAGGUCUGGCCUUCCAUGAAGCCAGAGCAACGUAAAGUUUUCAAUGGGGAUUACUUGUUCAGACAAGUUACAAAGAUCAGAAAAAUACCCAGAUUAAUUAGGAAGCAGUUAACAGUCUCGUGUUAUGGAAAAUAAAUCAUCAGGAACGUAUGCAGGGGAGAGACAAUACCGGUGGCAUUCGAACUUUGAGCAUUUUAAGCUUUGAACUUUACAUGCUGGUCUAUGGAAUGAGCAUUUCACCAGAGGAAAAAAAAAAAAAAAAAAA